GAGUUUGAUCCUGGCUCAGGAUGAACGCUGGCGGCGUGCUUAACACAUGCAAGUCGAACGAAGCACUCUUUUAGAUUUCCUUCGGGGAAGAAGAAAUUGUGACUGAGUGGCGGACGGGUGAGUAACGCGUGGGCAACCUGCCCCAUACAGGGGGAUAACAGCCGGAAACGGCUGCUAAAACCGCAUAAGCGCACAAGGGCCGCAUGGCCUGGUGUGAAAAACUCCGGUGGUAUGGGAUGGGCCCGCGUCUGAUUAGCUAGUUGGCGGGGGAGAGGCCCACCAAGGCGACGAUCAGUAGCCGACCUGAGAGGGUGGCCGGCCACAUUGGGACUGAGACACGGCCCAAACUCCUACGGGAGGCAGCAGUGGGGAAUAUUGCACAAUGGGGGAAACCCUGAUGCAGCGACGCCGCGUGAGCGAAGAAGUAUUUCGGUAUGUAAAGCUCUAUCAGCAGGGAAGAAAAAUGACGGUACCUGAGUAAGAAGCACCGGCUAAAUACGUGCCAGCAGCCGCGGUAAUACGUAUGGUGCAAGCGUUAUCCGGAUCUACUGGGUGUAAAGGGAGCGCAGGCGGUGCGGCAAGUCUGAUGUGAAAGCCCGGGGCUCAACCCCGGGACUGCAUUGGAAACUACCGAACUAGAGUGUCGGAGAGGUAAGUGGAAUUCCUAG
RNAcentral lists this ribosomal RNA (668 nucleotides) under uncultured bacterium. RNAcentral describes it as "bacterial SSU rRNA". It matches the Rfam family "Bacterial small subunit ribosomal RNA", at positions 9 to 673 of the family's 1533-position model. The record is from RNAcentral.